Molecule: long non-coding RNA, 435 nt
Filed under: Betta splendens (Siamese fighting fish)
Lineage: Eukaryota; Metazoa; Chordata; Actinopteri; Anabantiformes; Osphronemidae
Description: lncRNA (ENSBSLG00000014076.1)
Source: RNAcentral
AUGUCUCUUUUCUUGCAGAAACACUUCAGCAAUGAUUGUCUUAAAGUGUUCACUGUGAGCGCAAAACAGUUUCUAAAGAGAAAAAGAUCUAAACCUACCACUCUACAAGAAGAGGACACUGAAAUACCUGCACUUCAGGGAUUCCUAAAACAGCUCAAUGACCAUCACUCAGAAAAGUUGAACGACAUGUAUGUGUGUGGAGCUUAUGGGUUUCUGUCAUUGAUGCAAGGAGCCCGCAGCAGAGACACGGCUGAUGCCAAAACAAAAGUACGGUCACAACUUGUAGAAAACUUAAAGAGUGAACUUCAGAAAAUCAAGAAAACAACGGAAGAGACUUAUGAGGAUUUUGAAAAACGUCUGACUAAGGGAGUUAAAAAUUCAGAAAGUUCAUGUGACGCAACCUUGAAAUCUUUUUUAAAUCCAGUAAGUAUUUAA